AGAAUCAACGCUGGCGGCGUGCCUAACACAUGCAAGUCGAACGAGAAAGUGGAGCAAUCCAUGAGUAAAGUGGCGCACGGGUGAGUAACACGUGACUAACCUACCUUUUAGUGGGGGAUAACCUAGGGAAACCUGGGCUAAUACCGCAUAAUACCUACGGGUCAAAGCAGCAAUGCGCUGGAAGAGGGGGUCGCGGUCGAUUAGUUAGUUGGCAGGGUAAUGGCCUACCAAGACUGUGAUCGAUAUCCGGCCUGAGAGGGCGCACGGACACACUGGAACUGAAACACGGUCCAGACUCCUACGGGAGGCAGCAGUGGGGAAUUUUGCGCAAUGGGGGAAACCCUGACGCAGCAACGCCGCGUGGAGGAUGAAGUCCCUUGGGACGUAAACUCCUUUCGAUCGGGACGAUAAUGACGGUACCGGAAGAAGAACGCCCGGCUAACUCGCGCCAGCAGCCGC
This 459-nucleotide ribosomal RNA is filed under the name uncultured bacterium. RNAcentral's name for it is "SSU rRNA". It matches the Rfam family "Bacterial small subunit ribosomal RNA", at positions 26 to 518 of the family's 1533-position model. The record is from RNAcentral.